Molecule: long non-coding RNA, 300 nt
Filed under: Pan troglodytes (chimpanzee)
Lineage: Eukaryota; Metazoa; Chordata; Mammalia; Primates; Hominidae
Description: long non-coding RNA NONPTRT007563
Source: RNAcentral
GCUUUAACAAAUUAUUUUCUUUAACACACACAGACACACACACACACACGUGCGCACAUACCUACACUAUGAUACAGGUCAGAAUUAGUAAAGAGUUAAUACAAUCUUUCCCUUAUAUAUAGGGCAAUUACUAAAAUUUGUUGUCAUGCGGGACAACUUUUAUUUCUCUGUAACUCCUUUGGUUCUGUAUGGCAACUUGGGAAAUAUAUUCUUGCUACUUCUCCAGAAAAUGACUGCGCUCUUUGUAGAGCUUCACCUUCAGUGAGGUUAUGUCCUACAUUUGUAAUUUACUUAGACUCA